This 274-nucleotide ribosomal RNA is filed under the name uncultured bacterium. RNAcentral describes it as "partial 16S ribosomal RNA". It matches the Rfam family "Bacterial small subunit ribosomal RNA", at positions 523 to 796 of the family's 1533-position model. The record is from RNAcentral.
AUACAGAGGGUGCUAGCGUUAAUCGGAAUUACUGGGCGUAAAGCGCGCGUAGGCGGCUUAUUAAGUCAGAUGUGAAAUCCCCGGGCUCAACCUGGGAACUGCAUCUGAUACUGGUAAGCUAGAGUUUUGGAGAGGGAAGUAGAAUUUCAGGUGUAGCGGUGAAAUGCAUAGAGAUCUGAAGGAAUACCAGUGGCGAAGGCGACUUCCUGGCCAAAAACUGACGCUGAGGUGCGAAAGCGUGGGUAGCAAACGGGAUUAGAAACCCCAGUAGUCC